GUACCAGCAUGUGACCCCUGUUUUCAAACCCUGUCUAAAAGAACAUCCUUAAUUUCUCCUGCUGUGCACACUUAAGUGGAAUCCCACACCCCGCUCUACCCACACUGUCUCCCAGGGAUCGGAGCUUGUAGAAGGGCUGGAUGUAGAACCAGGAUCCCUCGUUUCCCGCCGAGUCCAGAGUCACUCUCAUGGCGUUCUUCUCCAGCAGAGCGGAGUGUCAAAUAUAAAGCAUCAAAUCUUUUUGCCAAGGACCCAUGGAAGCAGAAACAGCUACGAGAGAAAUAAACUGCACGGGGAGAUUCCAUAUGCCAAGUCAAGUGAGUUGACAGAGAGAGAGAAGAAGAAACAGAGAGAAAUUGAGGGCUGCAUCCAGAGCUUACAGAGAAAGUAAAAAUAUGGUAAACUCUGUGUUAGACCUUACGCCGCCAUCUAUGGAGAACAUUCCACCAGUUCUGGUGGAUGAAGAUGAAGCACAAG
Long non-coding RNA from Pleuronectes platessa (European plaice), 477 nucleotides. RefSeq lists it as uncharacterized. The transcript has 3 exons. The record is from RefSeq and is a predicted model, not a curated record. NCBI's taxonomy places the organism in Eukaryota, Metazoa, Chordata, Actinopteri, Pleuronectiformes, Pleuronectidae.